CCCCUAGUACGGCGAGUGAACCGGGAAGAGCUCAAAUUUGAAAUCUGGCGUGCUCAGUGCGUCCGAGUUGUAAUCUAUAGAAACGUUUUCCGUGCCGGACCGUGUCCAAGUUCCUUGGAACAGGGUAUCAAAGAGGGUGAUAAUCCCGUACUUGACACGACGACCGGUGCUCUGUGAUACGUUUUCUACGAGUCGAGUUGUUUGGGAAUGCAGCUCAAAAUGGGUGGUGAGUUCCAUCUAAAGCUAAAUAUUGGCGAGAGACCGAUAG
This 268-nucleotide ribosomal RNA is filed under the name Papiliotrema leoncinii. Its description in RNAcentral is "partial large subunit ribosomal RNA". It matches the Rfam family "Eukaryotic large subunit ribosomal RNA", at positions 77 to 340 of the family's 3401-position model. The record is from RNAcentral. Lineage: Eukaryota; Fungi; Basidiomycota; Tremellomycetes; Tremellales; Rhynchogastremaceae.